RNAcentral lists this ribosomal RNA (431 nucleotides) under uncultured Elusimicrobium sp. RNAcentral describes it as "bacterial SSU rRNA". It matches the Rfam family "Bacterial small subunit ribosomal RNA", at positions 958 to 1385 of the family's 1533-position model. Lineage: Bacteria; Pseudomonadati; Elusimicrobiota; Elusimicrobia; Elusimicrobiales; Elusimicrobiaceae. The record is from RNAcentral.
AACGCGAAGAACCUUACCUGGGCUUGAACUACUCGUGGUAAGCCGAUGGAAACAUUGGCUGACCCGCAAGGGAGCGAGCAGAGGUGCUGCAUGGUUGUCGUCAGCUCGUGUCGUGAGAUGUUGGGUUAAGUCCCGCAACGAGCGCAACCCCUACUCGAUGUUGCCACUCCCGCAAGGGAAGCACUCUUCGAGAACUGCCUUCGAUAAGAAGGAGGAAGGUGGGGACGACGUCAAAUCCUCAUGGCCCUUAUGUCCAGGGCUACACACGUGCUACAAUGGCCGGUACAACGGGAAGCAAUACCGUAAGGUGGAGCAAAACCCUGAAAGCCGGCCCCAGUUCAGAUUGUGGGCUGCAACUCGCCCACAUGAAGGCGGAAUCGCUAGUAAUCGCGAAUCAGCAGGUCGCGGUGAAUACGUUCCCGGGCCUUGUA